RNAcentral lists this long non-coding RNA (427 nucleotides) under Setaria viridis. RNAcentral describes it as "long non-coding RNA (SVIR_LNC003001)". The record is from RNAcentral. Lineage: Eukaryota; Viridiplantae; Streptophyta; Magnoliopsida; Poales; Poaceae.
CUGCAGCUGCCGAGCGAGUGACGACCGCCUCAUCGGCGGCGAUCCGAUUGCCCGGCCCAGGCGCUUAGCUUUUCUGUUUUGCCUGUGCCACGCACACGCGCGCGAUUACACCGAGCUAAGGAGAGGAAUGUUUUUUUUUUGAGGUCCGGAAUGUUUGUUAUGGAACCCGUGUACAUCAACGUGGACCACUUUAUGGGCCGUGGGCUAUGCACGAGAUGGGCUGGCUUCUGGAAUCCAUGAAAUCAGAAAUGCCGUGACGGCUUCUCUUCUUCUCUCCGUGCUCUCCUUCCCCUUCCCCUUGGUUCUCUCUCCAGUCUCCACUGCUCCUCUUCGUUCUCUAGAUUCUACUGAUUCGGUGAUGUAUCGCUGGUCCUCUUCGAUCCCCUUGCUUUCCUACAUAUCAUAAGUUCACAACCUCUAUUUCCCU